RNAcentral lists this long non-coding RNA (555 nucleotides) under Mus spicilegus (steppe mouse). Its description in RNAcentral is "lncRNA (ENSMSIG00000014207.1)". Lineage: Eukaryota; Metazoa; Chordata; Mammalia; Rodentia; Muridae. The record is from RNAcentral.
UUAGGAUCUGGAUCCUGCCCUCGUCGUGUCACAAUUGCCAUCUCAGCUGCUUUCUGGGCUCUGCAUCCCUCUUGUUGCCUCUUUAGGUGGUACUGAUCCAGUAAGAAACAAAAUUACCUUACCAGAGCAUUAGACAUCUGUUUCCAUGGAAACAGAGAAGGAUGGGAGAGAAGCACUGGAAAGGCUAGGGAGUACCAUAGCCUUGGAAGGACCUUCUUUCAUCUGAGAAAUAAAAUUCACCUUUAUAAUCUCCUCUCCUAAUUCUACCUUACCCGAACUGUAAGUAUUUAGCUGGUGGCUCCCCUGUGUUUACAGUUUUCCUGGCUCUAGAUUAUACUGGCUUCUGUCUUUCUGCUUUUAACCUAUGAUUCCCUUCAUUCUAGGACAUUAAAGUGGUGAAGCCCUUGAGUGCUUUGAUACAGAGUUGCAUCAACUUAAAUGGAAUUAAUUCUCUACCAUCACUUGCAUUAAGUAGGAGGAAUUCAACCAACCUUUGAACUUGAAGAGUGUAAUCAACAAGUUGGAAACACAGCGAUAGUUUCUCCAAGAUCUUCA